UACAGAGGGUGCGAGCGUUAAUCGGAAUUACUGGGCGUAAAGGGCGCGCAGGCGGUUGAUCAAGUGGGAUGUGAAAGCCCCGGGCUUAACCUGGGAACUGCAUCCUGGACUGAUUGGCUGGAGUAUUGUAGAGGACAGUGGAAUUUCCGGUGUAGCGGUGAAAUGCGUAGAGAUCGGAAGGAACACCAGUGGCGAAGGCGACUGUCUGGACAAAUACUGACGCUGAGGCGCGAAAGCGUGGGGAGCAAACAGG
RNAcentral lists this ribosomal RNA (253 nucleotides) under uncultured bacterium. RNAcentral describes it as "partial 16S ribosomal RNA". It matches the Rfam family "Bacterial small subunit ribosomal RNA", at positions 524 to 776 of the family's 1533-position model. The record is from RNAcentral. RNAcentral also lists the same sequence under 1 other name.